GAACGAACGCUGGCGGCAGGCCUAACACAUGCAAGUCGAGCGCCCGGAUUUAUCCGGGAGCGGCGCACGGGUGAGUAACGCGUGGGAACAUGCCCUGAAGUACGGAACAACCUGGGGAAACCUUGGCUAAUACCGUAUACGCCCUGAGGGGGAAAGAUUUAUCGCUUUGGGAUUGGCCCGCGUUGGAUUAGCUAGUUGGUGUGGUAACGGCGCACCAAGGCGACGAUCCAUAACUGGUCUGAGAGGAUGACCAGUCACACUGGGACUGAGACACGGCCCAGACUCCUACGGGAGGCAGCAGUGGGGAAUAUUGGACAAUGGGCGCAAGCCUGAUCCAGCCAUGCCGCGUGAGUGAAGAAGGCCUUCGGGUUGUAAAGCUCUUUCAGCGGGGACGAUGAUGACGGUACCCGCAGAAGAAGCCCCGGCUAACUUC
RNAcentral lists this ribosomal RNA (433 nucleotides) under Rhizobiales bacterium 'ARUP UnID 155'. Its description in RNAcentral is "bacterial SSU rRNA". It matches the Rfam family "Bacterial small subunit ribosomal RNA", at positions 27 to 504 of the family's 1533-position model. The record is from RNAcentral. Lineage: Bacteria; Pseudomonadati; Pseudomonadota; Alphaproteobacteria; Hyphomicrobiales.